UACGAAGGGGGCUAGCGUUGCUCGGAAUCACUGGGCGUAAAGGGUGCGUAUGCGGGUUUUUAAGUCAGGGGUGAAAUCCUGGAGCUCAACUCCAGAACUGCCUUUGAUACUGAAGAUCUCGAGUCCGGGAGAGGUGAGUGGAACUGCGAGUGUAGAGGUGAAAUUCGUAGAUAUUCGCAGGAACACCAGUGGCGAAAGCGGCUCACUGGCCCGGUACUGACGCUGAGGCACGAAAGCGUGGGGAGCAAACAGG
Molecule: ribosomal RNA, 253 nt
Filed under: uncultured bacterium
Lineage: Bacteria
Description: partial 16S ribosomal RNA
Rfam family: Bacterial small subunit ribosomal RNA
Source: RNAcentral